This 393-nucleotide long non-coding RNA is filed under the name Phoenix dactylifera (date palm). RNAcentral describes it as "long non-coding RNA (PDAC_LNC021606)". The record is from RNAcentral. Lineage: Eukaryota; Viridiplantae; Streptophyta; Magnoliopsida; Arecales; Arecaceae.
GAGGUAACAUGCAUUGCUAUCGGAGGUCGUUUGACCCCCUAAAUAAUUCGCCGAAGUUGGGACUUCGACACAGUUUUUCCGUAGUGCCGGAAAAAUUUGUCAAAAUCCGAUUCUUCCUCUUUUAACCGCCUCUUUUACAACCCUUAUCCAACCCCUCUAGACUAUAUCCACCCUUUGUAUAGCCUAAUGUCAUCAAAAGACUAGAUAGGGACGGAUAUUUACCUUUUUCUUUUUGGAAAUCGAGGUCCUUGCGUAGAGGGGAAGGAGAUCUACGUUUUUUCCUUCAGCUGGAAGUGCAACCGGGAUCCCUUUUCUCCUCGAAUCCCCUUCCUCUUCUUCUUUCUUCUUCUUCUUCUUCUCUUUUUCUUUCUUUCUUUCCUCUCUGUUUCACGC